CCUACGGGUGGCAGCAGUGGGGAAUAUUGGACAAUGGGGGGAACCCUGAUCCAGCCAUGCCGCGUGUGUGAAGAAGGCCCUCGGGUUGUAAAGCACUUUCAGUGAGGAAGAACGCCUGGUGGUUAAUACCCAUCAGGAAAGACAUCACUCACAGAAGAAGCACCGGCUAACUCCGUGCCAGCAGCCGCGGUAAUACGGAGGGUGCGAGCGUUAAUCGGAAUUACUGGGCGUAAAGCGCGCGUAGGUGGCUUGAUAAGCCGGUUGUGAAAGCCCCGGGCUCAAACUGGGAACGGCAUCCGGAACUGUCAAGCUAGAGUGCAGGAGAGGAAGGUAGAAUUCCCGGUGUAGCGGUGAAAUGCGUAGAGAUCGGGAGGAAUACCAGUGGCGAAGGCGGCCUUCUGGACUGACACUGACACUGAGGUGCGAAAGCGUGGGUAGCAAACAGGAUUAGAUACCCCGGUAGUC
This 465-nucleotide ribosomal RNA is filed under the name Vreelandella stevensii. Its description in RNAcentral is "partial 16S ribosomal RNA". It matches the Rfam family "Bacterial small subunit ribosomal RNA", at positions 338 to 795 of the family's 1533-position model. The record is from RNAcentral. Lineage: Bacteria; Pseudomonadati; Pseudomonadota; Gammaproteobacteria; Oceanospirillales; Halomonadaceae.